Molecule: long non-coding RNA, 897 nt
Filed under: Marmota monax (woodchuck)
Lineage: Eukaryota; Metazoa; Chordata; Mammalia; Rodentia; Sciuridae
Source: RNAcentral
GUUGAAAAUGUCAGUAUUUAUGUUGCUUAUGGAGUACUUUUCUAUAAAGCACUUAAAAUAGGUUUAAUUUUAUAAUUUUCAGUAAUUAAAUAUUCCUUAGCCUUUUAGGGAAGAAGUGUACUAGUAAUUAAGGUUUUAUUUUAAAAAGGGGGGCUUAAAGGAAAUCUAAUUGAUUCUUUUUUUUAAUAUUAGUUGUAGAUGGACACAAUAUUUUAUUUACUUAUUUUUAUGUGGUGCUGAGGAUCAAACCCAGUGCCUCACGCAUGCAAGGCAAGAGCUCUAUCACUGAGCUACAACCCCAGCCUUCUAAUUGAUUCUUUAACACUUAUCUGUUUCUUUAAACUCCUAUCAUCACCAUCAGUAUAUCACUUAUCUGAAAAAUACUUUUCUCUGCCAGCAUCCGUAUUUUUUAAUUAUUCCUUGAGAGUUGAACAGUUAAACUUGGUAUCUUGAGAUUAUGGUUUGGUUUGAUCUUUUUUUAGGUGUAGAUGGACACAACACAAUGCCUUUAUUUUUAUGUGGUGCUGAGGAUUGAACCCAGGUCCCACCUGUGCAAGGCGAGCGCUGUACCACUGAGCCACAAUCCCAGCCCCUUAUUUACUUAUUUUUUUAUAUGGUGCCAAGGAUCAAACCCAGUGCCUCACGUGCUGGGUAAGUGCUCUACCACUAAGCCACAACCUCAGACUUCUUUUUUAUUUUGUGACAGGUUCUCACUAAGUUACUCAUGCUAACCUUAAACGUGAUAUCCUCCUACCUCAGUCUCCCGAGUGGGUGAAAUUACAGUUGUGUGCUACCACUCCCAGCUGCUUGUUUGUUUAAUAUUAUUGUUGUUUUUGUAGUGCCGAGGAUCAAAUCCAGAGAAUUUUGCAAGCAAGACAAACACUCUUAGCUGGUAUU